CUGGCGGCGUGCCUAAUACAUGCAAGUCGAACGAACUCUGGUAUUGAUUGGUGCUUGCAUCAUGAUUUACAUUUGAGUGAGUGGCGAACUGGUGAGUAACACGUGGGAAACCUGCCCAGAAGCGGGGGAUAACACCUGGAAACAGAUGCUAAUACCGCAUAACAACUUGGACCGCAUGGUCCGAGCUUGAAAGAUGGCUUCGGCUAUCACUUUUGGAUGGUCCCGCGGCGUAUUAGCUAGAUGGUGGGGUAACGGCUCACCAUGGCAAUGAUACGUAGCCGACCUGAGAGGGUAAUCGGCCACAUUGGGACUGAGACACGGCCCAAACUCCUACGGGAGGCAGCAGUAGGGAAUCUUCCACAAUGGACGAAAGUCUGAUGGAGCAACGCCGCGUGAGUGAAGAAGGGUUUCGGCUCGUAAAACUCUGUUGUUAAAGAAGAACAUAUCUGAGAGUAACUGUUCAGGUAUUGACGGUAUUUAACCAGAAAGCCACGGCUAACUACGUGCCAGCAGCCGCGGUAAUACGUAGGUGGCAAGCGUUGUCCGGAUUUAUUGGGCGUAAAGCGAGCGCAGGCGGUUUUUUAAGUCUGAUGUGAAAGCCUUCGGCUCAACCGAAGAAGUGCAUCGGAAACUGGGAAACUUGAGUGCAGAAGAGGACAGUGGAACUCCAUGUGUAGCGGUGAAAUGCGUAGAUAUAUGGAAGAACACCAGUGGCGAAGGCGGCUGUCUGGUCUGUAACUGACGCUGAGGCUCGAAAGUAUGGGUAGCAAACAGGAUUAGAUACCCUGGUAGUCCAUACCGUAAACGAUGAAUGCUAAGUGUUGGAGGGUUUCCGCCCUUCAGUGCUGCAGCUAACGCAUUAAGCAUUCCGCCUGGGGAGUACGGCCGCAAGGCUGAAACUCAAAGGAAUUGACGGGGGCCCGCACAAGCGGUGGAGCAUGUGGUUUAAUUCGAAGCUACGCGAAGAACCUUACCAGGUCUUGACAUACUAUGCAAAUCUAAGAGAUUAGACGUUCCCUUCGGGGACAUGGAUACAGGUGGUGCAUGGUUGUCGUCAGCUCGUGUCGUGAGAUGUUGGGUUAAGUCCCGCAACGAGCGCAACCCUUAUUAUCAGUUGCCAGCAUUAAGUUGGGCACUCUGGUGAGACUGCCGGUGACAAACCGGAGGAAGGUGGGGAUGACGUCAAAUCAUCAUGCCCCUUAUGACCUGGGCUACACACGUGCUACAAUGGAUGGUACAACGAGUUGCGAACUCGCGAGAGUAAGCUAAUCUCUUAAAGCCAUUCUCAGUUCGGAUUGUAGGCUGCAACUCGCCUACAUGAAGUCGGAAUCGCUAGUAAUCGCGGAUCAGCAUGCCGCGGUGAAUACGUUCCCGGGCCUUGUACACACCGCCCGUCACACCAUGAGAGUUUGUAACACCCAAAGUCGGUGGGGUAACCUUUUAGGAACCAGCCGCCUAAGGUGGGACAGAUGAUU
This 1475-nucleotide ribosomal RNA is filed under the name Lactiplantibacillus plantarum. RNAcentral describes it as "bacterial SSU rRNA". It matches the Rfam family "Bacterial small subunit ribosomal RNA". The record is from RNAcentral. Lineage: Bacteria; Bacillati; Bacillota; Bacilli; Lactobacillales; Lactobacillaceae.